UUUCGUCUUGCCCGCGUACGUCAAGGGCCCAGAUUGUGCAUCUGUUCUUCAUGAAAAACUAUUUGGGUGUAGUGUGUGGAAAAGAAGUACCGUACUCUGCAAAACUCAGCAAUUGAAGAGUGAAGUGGUCAGUUGACCGGCGACCACUUUCUGUGCGAGAAUUGAUGUGAAAAUCACCGAAUUAACCCUUCCUUGGCUUAGUGCUUUGUGUCGACUGUUUUGCCAGUGCCUGGGGUGGCCUCGAUUUUUCAUCACGAUGCAGCAACUUCAGCAUCCUGUGCGAUCUGAGAAGGAGCACCCGUCUCUAACUUAUAAGCUCACUGGUUGCAGGCGUUUCCUGUCGUUCAAGCGGAUGCUCCUAAUAGUGACCGGGCUGGGGAUGAUCGGAGUACUGGCUUCUCUUAGCUCCUCACAGCAAAUCUCGACCAUAUUGAAACGUUCUUUUGAGCGGUCCAUCUCUAUAACAAGAGGACCCAUCUCCUCAUCACUGAGAAUGGGUUUGUAGAGAGCCUAAAGGCGCCUGUAGAUUUUAACCCAGUCUAUCAAACUAUUAUAGAAUCUUCCACCAUGGAGUCCAAAAACGUUAAAGAUUUUUUGUCUCUGAGACCUCUGGACCAUCCCCUGGAGACAGACGUCCUUUCUAAAACGUUGAAAAGUAGCGAGGCUUUGAUACUGGAAGCUCAGCGAAUUCUCCUCAGUAUGCUCAGAGAUUUGCUCGGCAAAGCUCGUCACGUGAUACUGUUUGAAAUAGCGACGUACAGCAACAAGGGAGACCCUGCCACAUCUGUCGGAGAAGCCAUGUUACUGAGGAAACCCAACGUCACAGUGGUGUAUUAUUGCGAGACACAUCACUGUACAGCAGAGAGCGUUGAGCGUGCGAGAAAGAUCAGCGAGUCGUAUGAACAGGAUGAAUUAGUGAUUUUAAUGCAGGGAGGUGGCAAUUUGGUAGGGUAUCAUGGAAUGGAUAUAAUACGUGAACGUGUUCUGGAUGCUUUCCCCACUAGAACUAUAAAGUGCUAUUUUCCCAGAGCAUCUGGCUAAACAAGUUUAAUAAUGAGAGCCUACUGUACUGCCAGAAAAUUUACUCAAACCGAAAGAAUUUCGUGAUGUUCCUAAGAGACCACCAGUCCUUGGGUACAGCUCAAGAAAACUUUAAGGGCAUCAAGCACGUGUUAGCACCGGAUAUGGCUUUUGGUAUAGGAAUGCUGCCUCGUCAAUUGCCUCCAGCUUUUGAUGUGAUCUGGCUAAAGAGGGGGGACAGAGAAUCCCCGGGCUAUACAACUGACGAUUUACCCAAAAAUAUUUCAUUCACGUACCACGUGAGCGAUUACCUGGGAUGGAAGUCCAACACAGGAGCCACGGACAUGGAGACGUCUUUCUUGAUCGCCACUGCCGGUUUGCAGUUUCUACAGCGGGGACGGGUUCUUAUCCCAGAUCGUCUCCACGGACACAUUCUGAGCACCCUCCUCAACUUUCCUCAUGUUUUGUAGGACAACCCGCCUUUUCUUAAACUCUCGUCCUUCCACAAAAGCUGGACGGCAAGUCAAAGCAAUGUGGUCUUGGUGACGGAUAAACACCAGGCUGUUAGAGAGGCUCAGAAACUUCUGGAGCGAUACGAUUCACAGUGUUGCCUAAAGUAGGCCCUUUCAUGAGUAAAAAAAAUCUGGGAACACUAAUAAUACAUUUCUUCUGGCAAGAGAAACAAAGAAUGUCAUCUAGUUAGGGAGCUAAUAACUUUAUUCGAUGGACUCACGCCUUACUUAGUUGACCAUAGAGGAAAGCUAACUCAGACCAAUCAAAUGUCUCUGUCCGUUGUGAGCGUUCCAAAGCGGGAUCUUUCAGACAUAGCUGACAGCAGGGUUAAGUUUCUUUGUCGAUAUCAUACGCAUAGGUUAGAUUUCUUACCUACAGUGGUUUUGA
Molecule: unclassified non-coding RNA, 1920 nt
Filed under: Aplysia californica (California sea hare)
Lineage: Eukaryota; Metazoa; Mollusca; Gastropoda; Aplysiida; Aplysiidae
Description: pyruvyl transferase 1, transcript variant X2
Source: RNAcentral